RNAcentral lists this unclassified non-coding RNA (671 nucleotides) under Terfezia boudieri. RNAcentral describes it as "sequence contains ITS1, 5.8S rRNA gene and ITS2". The stretch from base 302 to 455 matches the Rfam family "5.8S ribosomal RNA". The record is from RNAcentral. Lineage: Eukaryota; Fungi; Ascomycota; Pezizomycetes; Pezizales; Pezizaceae.
UAUGCAUCCAACGCGUUGGGAGCUCUCCCAUAUGGUCGACCUGCAGGCGGCCGCGAAUUCACUAGUGAUUUCCGUAGGUGAACCUGCGGAAGGAUCAUUACUGAAAAACUAUUUUAAGUUUUUUAUAUCCCAUUGUUUACUUACCCUGUUGCUUUCACUGGACAGAUUUCACCUUGUGUGGGUCCUUUGGCUUGUGUGAAAUACCACUUGCCAAAGAGUUGCCAGUGGUAAGACCUAUUUAUCAAAACUUGAGUUUCAAUAAACACAACUGUCUGAAUAUUUUUUUUCUUUAAUGAAAUAAAACUUUCAACAACGGAUCUCUAGGNUCUUGCAUCGAUGAAGAACGCAGUGAAAUGCGAUAAGUAAUGUGAAUUGCAGAAUCUCGUGAAUCAUUGAAUCUUUGAACGCACAUUGCGCCCUAUGGUAUUCCAUUGGGCAUGCCUGUCUGAGCGUCAGCUCCCCCUCCACUCAAGAAUUAUUUUAUAUGAUACUUGGAUUACUUUGGAGAUGUAACUGUAUAUUAAGUUGCCCUCCAGAAAUUCAUUGGCAGUAUGGUUUGUACUUGGACCAGACGUAAUAGUAAUAAAAUCGUUUGUUUGGGUAUAAUUGAAUUGUACUUGCCUUAACCCCCACCCAUUUUUAUUUUGGGUGACCUCAGAUCAGGUAGGGAU